Long non-coding RNA from Cololabis saira (Pacific saury), 326 nucleotides. RefSeq lists it as uncharacterized. The transcript has 3 exons. The record is from RefSeq and is a predicted model, not a curated record. Lineage: Eukaryota; Metazoa; Chordata; Actinopteri; Beloniformes; Belonidae.
CAAGCGUGAUGUCAGCAGGGCGGUUAUUGGGAGAUCAUACCGUUUCCAACGCGCCAGACAUCCCUGUGUGAAGGCUGUCAUAUUCACCACAGCUCAGGGGCAGAUUUGUGUGGAUCCCAAAGCUCCAUGGGUCCAAACAUUAAUUCCCAGUCGGACAAAGUAGAUAUGAAACAUCACUGGAGUCUGAGGAAACGCCCUCCUGCUGCUGAUGGAGGAGCAAUAUUUACUCAUCUAAUGUAUUAACCGUCCUACCACUGUGCUUACUACUGAGCUCGAGUUUAUAUAUCUGUAAAAAGUGUGUUUAUUAAAGAACAAAUAUAUUUAUC